UACGGAGGGUGCAAGCGUUAUCCGGAUUUACUGGGUUUAAAGGGUGCGUAGGUGGGUAAGUAAGUCAGUGGUGAAAUCUCCGAGCUUAACUCGGAAACUGCCAUUGAUACUAUUUAUCUUGAAUAUCCUGGAGGUGAGCGGAAUAUGUCAUGUAGCGGUGAAAAUGCUUAGAUAUGACAUAGAACACCAAUUGCGAAGGCAGCUCACUACGGGGUCAUUGACACUGAGGCACGAAAGCGUGGGGAUCAAACAGG
Molecule: ribosomal RNA, 254 nt
Filed under: uncultured bacterium
Lineage: Bacteria
Description: partial 16S ribosomal RNA
Rfam family: Bacterial small subunit ribosomal RNA
Source: RNAcentral